UCCGAAUUGGUGUAGUGGCUAACAUUUGACGCUCUCAACAAAGAUCCGUCAAGCCCGGGGUUCGAUUCCCCGAUUCGGAG
Xylaria venustula is the source of this 80-nucleotide non-coding RNA. The record is from the annotation of a GenBank genome assembly. NCBI's taxonomy places the organism in Eukaryota, Fungi, Ascomycota, Sordariomycetes, Xylariales, Xylariaceae.